GUGUUUUAUGAAAGGAGAGAAGGUUAGCACUCCCCUUGACAAGGAUGGAAGAGGCCCUUGUGCCUGUACAACACACAUAUGGUUAAGGCAUUGCCACUUAGUGGCAUCUAAUCACUGUUUUUU
Molecule: non-coding RNA, 123 nt
Filed under: Dasypus novemcinctus (nine-banded armadillo)
Lineage: Eukaryota; Metazoa; Chordata; Mammalia; Cingulata; Dasypodidae
Source: RNAcentral